GGAGAAAGCUUACUGCCAAUGUUCACAGAUAUUUAUGGUAAGUUAUAUAUAACCUAAACUAUAAUAACUACUAACCAUAUUUAAGUUUAUUUGGAAACUUCAAAAUGUUCAAAAAACGAUAUAAUGUAUUUACUUGUGAAUUGAAAGUUGGUACUACCCAAAGCGAAAAAUUAAUAAAUGUCAAAGGGUGCAAAGGGGCCAUUUCUCCCCCAAUUUUACAAUAUUUUUAGGAGCACCUCUUGAAGUCUUGAUGCAUAAGAUAAUAAUGCAUAAGGAUUUAGGAUAACUCAUUCGAACCUAUGAUUUAUAAAAUCUUCAUCUUUAUAAGUAUCAAUAAUACAAUUUUAUUUCGUUUCUAUGGACUCGUUUGUUGUAAUUAUAUUUAAAUAGGCUGCGUUUUCAGACUUCAGUUAUUCUAAAUGAUAAUAAUUUAUUAUGAUUAAAUAUUAUUGAGUAUUGUUAUUGUGAUGUACUGACGAAUGCGAAGAAAGAAGAAUAAAAAACAAAAUAGCUAAUACUUAGGACAGAUGCAGCCUCUGUUAUAUGUUGGAAGUUGGGAAGGUAGGAUCAGUAUACAUAAUACACAGUUACUUAAUUUAUAAAUGUAUGCAAUAUUUUAUCGAUUUAUUAAAUAUUAAAAUAUAUAUGUAAUUUUAAGAUCCCAUUACUAAAGAAAAAUUUGAUGAAUUAAGAGAAGGUAUAUUAAUUUAAACACAUAAUAACUAUAUCAUAUUUUUUUAUAAGCCUUACGUUAUAGAACAAAACAUUCGCUAUAUGCAAAAAAAAAAAAAAAUAGUUAAUAGACCUAAUUUUAUUAAUUAUUCAGGAAAAACAAUCAUAGGCGAACAUUAUUCAACAUACAUAAUAAGAAUAUUUUUAAACGGUAAUUUUUAAUUUCUAAUACAUAUAAUAUAGUUAAGCAAACAUAUUCCUCAACAGAAACCUAACUGUGAAAAAAGGCCAAGUCACAAACCACCUCUGAAAAAAGUCAAUCUAUUGGUAGUGAUAAUUGCAUUGUCGCCAAGUCUGCUUUUUCAUUAGUUCAUAAGCUCACUUCACUUCUACUUUUAUAAUAGCAUUAGCACCGUUACUCCUUUAAUUUUAUUGCUUUACAAUUUACCGGUUUCUGAGUCAUGUAUAUUUAUCCUUAAAAAAAAAAAAUUAAUAUCGACUAAUAUAAAUAAGUAGGUAGAUAAAUAAUUUUUCUAUUAUAACAAAUUCAGGAUAUGUACCAUUGCACAAGAAUUUAUGGAUUCAAGAAUACAAUGAAUUAUAUCCAGGACAGCAAAUUCCAUAGUAAUUAUUAUUUGUUUUAAUAUUAGUUAUUUAGGUAUAUCGAAACAAAAUGAUUGAAUUAAUUAAUAAUGAUUUUAAUUAACACUCAGCUGAUGAAGCUAUUCCAGAAUGGUAAUAAAUAGUAUCUAGUUUAAAUUAUAAGUUACAUUCUUAUUUAAAUUACAAUAAUAAAAUAUUAUAUGGCGCACACAGAACACUUAAUAAUUCCUAGUCAUUUUAUUAUUAUAUACUUCAAAAUUUUAACUUAAUUUAUAAUUUAUUUAUACCUAUAUAAUUAUUGAAAACAAAGAAUAUUAAGUACUUAACGUAUUAUAUUGUAUUUAAAAAAUGAUAUGUAAGGAAUAACAAUAAUUACAUAGUUAACAGAUUAAAAUGAAGUAAUAAAGAAAGAAUUAAACUUACACACUCCUUUAAUAUUGUGUGUACGAAUAUUUUAUAUUUCAAAAUUUUAAAUGAAGAAGUUACAAAAACCAGCACCAGAAGAUGGCCGAUUUCAAAUUGUUGAUUUGAAGACGAAAGAGAAGAUGAAGAAUAACUAUAACAACAUGUCUUGUAGUUAAAAAUUAACAGAAUUUAUUAUAAUUUAUACUAAAUAAUAAUGCAAAAGCAUGAAUAAAUUGGUAGAAAUUUAAUAUUAACGUAAAUUCUUUGUAAACUAUGAAGGUUUUUCAAAUUAAAACAAAAUCAGUUUGUUGAUAACGC
This 1998-nucleotide long non-coding RNA is filed under the name Cinara cedri. Lineage: Eukaryota; Metazoa; Arthropoda; Insecta; Hemiptera; Aphididae. The record is from RNAcentral.